Long non-coding RNA from Musa acuminata AAA Group (dessert banana), 486 nucleotides. RefSeq lists it as uncharacterized. The record is from RefSeq and is a predicted model, not a curated record. Lineage: Eukaryota; Viridiplantae; Streptophyta; Magnoliopsida; Zingiberales; Musaceae. The transcript has 2 exons.
CAAAUGUUGUGGGUCUUCCCUGAGAACAAUCCUGUCGACAAAUAUCCACAUUGGCAAGAAUCUGCAUGAGCCACUUGGAGAUCUGUAGAUGUAGAUGGAGGACAUGUAGGUUAGCUUUCUGUCAUCAGCCUCCAGAAGAGUGGAGGAUGAGACUUGUUCCAAAUGGUUCAAGGUCCGCAAGGAGGUCAAGCCCAAUGGCUGUAGGAAGAUGUAGGGCUGGGUCAUGUUCAGACUCGAAGCAAGAAAGAAGGACCUCAGAGCUCCCUUCUCUGCAGGAUGAAGAUGUAAAUGCUGGAUCCUACUGAUUCAUAUCCAAGUCAAUUAUGGCCAACAAGUCUUGGAUUCUUGUGAAAAUUCUUGUGUCAGAAACCUCAUGGUGUUCCCCCACGUAACAUUUUUUUUGUUGUUUUUCUAUACUCGACAUGUGCAUUAUCUUCUUCGACAUUCAAAGAUCAGAUCCUGAGAGUACAAAACUUUUCAGUAUUA